GAUGAACGCUGGCGGCGUGCCUAAUACAUGCAAGUCGGACGCAAUGCUUCGGCAUUGAGUGGCGAACGGGUGAGUAAUACAUAAGCAACCUGCCCCUGUGAGGGGGAUAACUGCUGGAAACGGCAGCUAAGACCGCAUAGGCAUACAUGACGCAUGUCGAGUAUGUUAAAUAUCCUACGGGAUAGCACAGGGAUGGGCUUAUGACGCAUUAGCUAGCUGGUGAGGUAGAGGCUCACCAGGGCGACGAUGCGUAGCCGGCCUGAGAGGGUGGACGGCCACACUGGGACUGAGACACGGCCCAGACUCCUACGGGAGGCAGCAGUAGGGAAUUUUCGGCAAUGGGCGAAAGCCUGACCGAGCAACGCCGCGUGAAGGAAGAAGUCAUUCGUGAUGUAAACUUCUGUUAUAAAGGAAGAACGGCGCCUGUAGGGAAUGACAGGCGAGUGACGGUACUU
RNAcentral lists this ribosomal RNA (455 nucleotides) under uncultured bacterium. RNAcentral describes it as "bacterial SSU rRNA". It matches the Rfam family "Bacterial small subunit ribosomal RNA", at positions 28 to 480 of the family's 1533-position model. The record is from RNAcentral.